RNAcentral lists this ribosomal RNA (253 nucleotides) under uncultured bacterium. RNAcentral's name for it is "partial 16S ribosomal RNA". It matches the Rfam family "Bacterial small subunit ribosomal RNA", at positions 524 to 776 of the family's 1533-position model. The record is from RNAcentral.
UACAGAGAGUGCGAACGUUGUUCGGAAUUACUGGGCAUAAAGAGCACGUAGGCGGCGCCGUAAGUGUCGGGUGAAAUCCCACGGCUUACCCGUGGAACUGCUUGGCAGACUGCGGUGCUAGAGGAUGGUAGGGGAGAGCGGAACUCCUGGUGGAGCGGUGAAAUGCGUAGAGAUCAGGAGGAACACCGGUGGCGAAGGCGGCUCUCUGGUCCAUUUCUGACGCUGAGGUGCGAAAGCUAGGGGAGCAAACGGG